GGCAAGGCCGGCGGCAACAAUUCGCUGUGAACCCCGUCAGGCCCGAGAGGGAGCAGCGGUAGCAGUCGGGUUGUGUGCCGCCGGCCCUGCCGGC
RNAcentral lists this signal recognition particle RNA (94 nucleotides) under Deltaproteobacteria bacterium. RNAcentral describes it as "signal recognition particle sRNA small type". It matches the Rfam family "Bacterial small signal recognition particle RNA". Rfam says of the family: The signal recognition particle (SRP) is a universally conserved ribonucleoprotein involved in the co-translational targeting of proteins to membranes. Archaeal SRP consists of a 7S RNA and homologues of the eukaryotic SRP19 and SRP54 proteins. The record is from RNAcentral. Lineage: Bacteria; Pseudomonadati; Myxococcota; Myxococcia.